CCCUUAGAUGUUCUGGGCCGCACGCGCGCUACACUGGUACGUUCAACAAGUUUACAACCUUGAUCGAUAGGUCUGGGUAAUCUUUUUAAUGCGUACCGUGCUAGGGAUAGAUUAUUGCAAUUAUUAAUCUUGAACGAGGAAUUCCUAGUAAACGCAAGUCAUCAGCUUGCAUUGAUUACGUCCCUGCCCUUUGUACACACCGCCCGUCGCACCUACUGAUUGAAUGACUCGGUGAAAAUUGGGACUGUGAGAACAAUCGAUUCAGUUCGAAUGUACUCGUGGAAACUUUUUUUAACCUCGCCAUUUAGAAGAAGGUGAAGUCGUAACA
RNAcentral lists this ribosomal RNA (328 nucleotides) under uncultured eukaryote. RNAcentral's name for it is "partial 18S ribosomal RNA". It matches the Rfam family "Eukaryotic small subunit ribosomal RNA", at positions 1470 to 1796 of the family's 1831-position model. The record is from RNAcentral.